RNAcentral lists this ribosomal RNA (93 nucleotides) under Serratia proteamaculans. Lineage: Bacteria; Pseudomonadati; Pseudomonadota; Gammaproteobacteria; Enterobacterales; Yersiniaceae. The record is from RNAcentral. RNAcentral also lists the same sequence under 1 other name.
CCACCUGAUCCCAUGCCGAACUCAGAAGUGAAACGCCGUAGCGCCGAUGGUAGUGUGGGGUCUCCCCAUGCGAGAGUAGGACACUGCCAGGCA